Molecule: ribosomal RNA, 250 nt
Filed under: uncultured bacterium
Lineage: Bacteria
Description: partial 16S ribosomal RNA
Rfam family: Bacterial small subunit ribosomal RNA
Source: RNAcentral
UACGGAGGAUGCAAGCGUUAUCCGGAAUUAUUGGGCGUAAAGCGUCCGUAGGUGGUUUUACAAGUCAGUUGUUAAAGCGUGAGGCUUAACCUCAUAAAGGCGAUUGAAACUGUAGGACUAGAGUUUGGUAGGGGUCAGGGGAAUUCCCAGUGUAGCGGUGAAAUGCGUAGAUAUUGGGAAGAACACCGGUGGCGAAAGCGCCUGACUGGGCCUGAACUGACACUGAGGGACGAAAGCUAGGGGAGCGAAA